GGAAGACCAGCUUGCUUCUGGUCGGUUCCCGGCGCCCUGCGUUUCGUGACCUUGUCCAGUAGAAGGCUAUUUAAUUUUCACAACUGCUUGAAUUUUGACAUACAAGAUGAAGCAAGAUGCCUCAAGAAAUGCUGCCUACACUGUGGAUUGUGAAGAUUAUGUGCAUGUGGUAGAAUUUAAUCCCUUUGAGAAUGGGGAUUCAGGAAACCUAAUUGCAUAUGGUGGCAAUAAUUAUGUGGUCAUUGGCACGUGUACGUUUCAGAACCUUCAAGUUCCAUUGCACCCAGUUUCAUGCUUCUUGUCUUGAGAGAAAACUAAGUAAAAGAAGAAGAAGCAGACGUUGAAGGCAUUCAGUAUAAAACACUUCGAACAUUUCACCAUG
This 382-nucleotide small RNA is filed under the name Pongo abelii (Sumatran orangutan). Its description in RNAcentral is "processed transcript". Lineage: Eukaryota; Metazoa; Chordata; Mammalia; Primates; Hominidae. The record is from RNAcentral.